GAUGAACGCUGACAGAAUGCUUAACACAUGCAAGUCGAUGGGGAAGUGGUGCUUGCACCCUGGCAACCAUGGCGGACGGGUGAGUAACGCGUAAGGGACUUACCUGCAGGACUGGGAUAACAGGGGGAAACUCCUGACAAGACCGGAUAAUGUCAUGGAGCUGCAUGGCUUUAUGAUGAAAGGAGACGCCUGCGGAGAGCCUUGCGUCCUAUUAGCUAGUUGGUGAGGUAAUGGCUCACCAAGGCGAAGAUAGGUAGCCGGCCUGAGAGGGUGGACGGCCACAAGGGGACUGAGAUACGGCCCUUACUCCUACGGGAGGCAGCAGUGGGGAAUAUUGGACAAUGGGGGCAACCCUGAUCCAGCAAUUCUGUGUGCACGAAGAAGGUUUUCGGAUUGUAAAGUGCUUUCAGCAGGGAAGAAGGAAGUGACGGUACCUGCAGAAGAAGCGACGGCUAAAUACGUG
RNAcentral lists this ribosomal RNA (463 nucleotides) under uncultured bacterium. Its description in RNAcentral is "partial 16S ribosomal RNA". It matches the Rfam family "Bacterial small subunit ribosomal RNA", at positions 28 to 507 of the family's 1533-position model. The record is from RNAcentral.